AUUUAAAUUUAUGCAUUAACAACCAAAUAAUAAUGACUAGAUAUUUCUUAUGAAAUAAUAGUUAUUAUGUGUACUCCUCAAAAGUUGUAUUGGAAUAAUUUGUUUUUAAAACAAAGCUGGACAUUAAAUUCAAUUGUGAUUGAUUUCAACCCACUGAUACAAGGGGCAUGCUUGCAAGUAUAGCAGCCAAAAAAAAACUAAAUAAACAAUAACCAUACUUUUAGACUUAGAUCCUCUGUUUGGUGCAUUGAGUGGCAAGCUGUCUCCAAAAAGAUCUGUCUGAAGUCUGUUCACCCAUAUUUAUAGAAAUAUAAAAAUAUUCUGACUUCUAGAAAAGAUAAAAAAAUGGAAAGGCUAACUAAACUUUGACAAUGUAAUGGAAAAAAAUCAAUGUUGAACCAUCCUAAUAGUUUGUGAUGAGAAAUGUCAUCAGCCACCUUGGCAGCAGUACCAAAAAAACUGCCAAGCCAAAUGUUAGGCACUGUCAUUUUUGUCUAGUAAAUGAUGUUUCACAGCAAUACAGUGCAGCCCUUCAUCAGAACAAUGUUGCCUGAGUACUGAAACUUAAAUAAGUUUAGAAACCUUUGAAAGCAUCUUGUCAAAUUACAACCAAUACCUUCUGAAGAACUUUAUAAAAUGGUACUCAAAACAGCUUAGUUUUCUCUUUUAGUGAGUGCUGACAAAACAUUAAUGAGGAAGUGGACUCAAGAUAAGGAUACCAUCAUUAUAUUACAUUUAACUUAUGCAUUACACUUUUUAUAUUUUAAAUUUUGCAUUUUAAAAUGUAAUUUUUGCUGCAAUAUUUUAUCAACUUUUUUUUUUUAGAUCAAAGGAAUGUACAUGCUGCUGAUAUAGAAAAAGUUUCUGACUGCUUACAGAUCAGUGUUCUUAGUUCUGCUAUUGAUUUACUAUUGCAUAAUAAAUAAACAUGUAAUGAUCAAUCACAUUUUUAUACCAAGUUCAUCUAAUGAUUUACACAGCAUAUUAUCAGCAUUCACAGUUCAUCUAAUGAUCUACAUAUGAAGCAGCACCAUGCAGAGCUAACAUCACCUACUGAAGAGAGUUUCCAUCAUGCUUUAGCAACAAUCCAAAAACAAAAUGAAAAAGUGGUUUCUUUGUUUGGGACAAGUCCUGAAAGGCCUUCAGAAUCUGGGAGCACACUAUUGUUAACAAGCAGUGUGUCAUAUGACCAGCACAAUGACCAACAGCCUUUACUUUUCGAACCAAAGUCAGGACACUGUUCAAAGAUAUUUUAAGAUGUUGGCCUCACAUCUUGACACUUGUUAGAGUGUAAAGAUUUGACUUAACAAAUGUUAAAAUAAAAAGAGCACAUUGUGGAGAGUUGACCGUCAUUAAAAAAUGAUUGUCAGACUUCUGCUAGAUGUUGAUCUUUUCAUCACAACACCAAUAACUUCUUCUUGGAGUCAAGUAACAGUGUAUAUCACCUGAAAAAGCUAUUUAAAUUCCCUUAAAGAUCACAAAUUAAUGCUGAUGACAUAAAGCACAUUUAUCCACGAAAUCUUAUGAACACAUAAUAUUAUGUUGUACAACUAAAUAGUGGUGUCUGGAAAUUUAGGCAGUGUGUAUGUAGUGUAUAUGCUUAUUUAUUAUUUAUCUGUUUCUUAAACAUAGGCUUAUGUUCCCCGCGCUACCCAAACUAUAAUUCGGAGUGUGAAACAUAACAGAUUAACAGGUGCUAUAUUAUGUUUCGUUUAACAAAGAUUUUCUUACACUCUACAUAUUCCUCCCCCCCCCCCGAGAGGUGGGCCAGGGGUAGUGGUAAGUAUUUAAAUCACGGACUGAGAAGACCUAACGGCGAGCGAGAAAGGGGUUACGUCGUCACUAGAUCUGUGUCAGCUCAAUACAAUUUUUUCUCUUCGUGGUGUAGUCUUAAUCAUAAACAGAUAAAAAUUAAAGUUUUAAGAUACUGUUAAUCUUCUAUAAUAAAAUGCUUAUUUCUUAUAGUAAUACGUUUCCCGUACUAGAUCUUUAUAAUUUAUUGUCAUUGCUCUAUAUAGUAUAGAUCACUUACUCAUAAUGCAUACUUUUGUUGAAAAGAAAAAUAAUUAAACAUAUCGUGUAGAUAUAGAUGCGUGUUUCAUUAUGUUCGUGUAUAUUUUUGUUUUAUUUUAUCAAUAUUUCGCUUUGCUUGGUGACUUAAUAGAUAAAAUAUAAAUCUAAU
Molecule: long non-coding RNA, 2182 nt
Organism: Biomphalaria glabrata
Lineage: Eukaryota; Metazoa; Mollusca; Gastropoda; Planorbidae
Exons: 3
Source: RefSeq, a predicted model, not a curated record